This 339-nucleotide unclassified non-coding RNA is filed under the name soil metagenome. RNAcentral's name for it is "partial contains 5.8S ribosomal RNA, internal transcribed spacer 2, and large subunit ribosomal RNA". The stretch from base 1 to 120 matches the Rfam family "5.8S ribosomal RNA", at positions 35 to 154 of the family's 154-position model. The record is from RNAcentral.
GAUGAAGAACGUAGCGAAAUGCGAUAAGUAGUGUGAAUUCCAGAAUUCAGUGAAUCAUCGAAUCUUUGAACGCACAUUGCGCCCCUCGGUAUUCCGUGGGGCAUGCCUGUUCGAGCGUCAUUUAACCCCUCAAGCCUAGCUUGGUAUUGGGUGCUUGUCCCGCCUCUCGCGCGGCGACUCACCUCAAAGUCAUUGGCAGCCCGCAUCUCGCCGGCCGUGAGCGCAGCACAGACGCGCUCUUGGCAACGACGGAUCGGCUCUCCAAAAGCUUAUUUCAACCACUGACCUCGGAUCAGGUAGGGAUACCCGCUGAACUUAAGCAUAUCAAUAAGCGGAGGA